UNNAUCGGCGCACGGGUGCGUAACGCGUGGGAAUCUGGCCCUUGGGUGCGGAAUAACUUCUCGAAAGGGAUGCUAAUACCGCAUAAUGUCGUAAGACCAAAGAUUUAUCGCCCAAGGAUGAGCCCGCGUAGGAUUAGCUAGUUGGUGGGGUAAAAGCCUACCAAGGCGACGAUCCUUAGCUGGUCUGAGAGGAUGAUCAGCCACACUGGGACUGAGACACGGCCCAGACUCCUACGGGAGGCAGCGGUGGGGAAUAUUGGACAAUGGGCGAAAGCCUGAUCCAGCAAUGCCGCGUGAGUGAUGAAGGCCCUAGGGUUGUAAAGCUCUUUUACCCGGGAUGAUAAUGACAGUACCGGGAGAAUAAGCUCCGGCUAACUCCGUGCCUNCAGCCGCGGUAAUACGGAGGGAGCUAGCGUUGUUCGGAAUUACUGGGCGUAAAGCGCGCGUAGGCGGUUUUUUAAGUCAGAGGUGAAAGCCCGGGGCUCAACCCCGGAAUUGCCUUUGAACUGGNAAACUAGAAUCUUGGAGAGGUCAGUGGAAUUCCGAGUGUAGAGGUGAANUUCGUAAAUAUUCGGAANAACNCCAGUGGCGAAGGCGACUGACUGGACAAGUNUUGACNCUGANGUGCNAAAGCNUGGGGGAGCNAACAGGAUUANAUACCCUGGUAGUCCNCGCCGUAACGAUNAUACUAGCUGUCCNGGUUCUANAACUUGGGGGGCGCACCUA
This 726-nucleotide ribosomal RNA is filed under the name uncultured Sphingopyxis sp. RNAcentral's name for it is "partial 16S ribosomal RNA". It matches the Rfam family "Bacterial small subunit ribosomal RNA", at positions 91 to 854 of the family's 1533-position model. Lineage: Bacteria; Pseudomonadati; Pseudomonadota; Alphaproteobacteria; Sphingomonadales; Sphingopyxidaceae. The record is from RNAcentral.